Molecule: long non-coding RNA, 278 nt
Organism: Cucumis sativus (cucumber)
Lineage: Eukaryota; Viridiplantae; Streptophyta; Magnoliopsida; Cucurbitales; Cucurbitaceae
Exons: 3
Source: RefSeq, a predicted model, not a curated record
GUCAUAAUCACUUGAGAUCGUCCAUCAGAAGUGUUAACAUAGAUCUCUAUGCCGAUGAGGAUUUGGGCAACACACCUAUGAACGAAGAAGUGAAGGAGGAGAUUGUAGUUUACCUAUUCCAGUGAAGGGCAAGAUAGAGACUUUAAAUCAAGCAUUAGAUAUCUUUGGGAUGAAUGUGAUUGUGGAAGCAAGUUUUUUGUUAUGACCAAGCAAAAAUAACAUCACAUAUCAAGGAUCGUGAUCUCCGAUCCAGAAAUUUUGCCAACCAGUUAGAAGCC